RNAcentral lists this non-coding RNA (30 nucleotides) under Homo sapiens (human). The record is from RNAcentral. Lineage: Eukaryota; Metazoa; Chordata; Mammalia; Primates; Hominidae.
UGAGACCAUCAAACUCAUUAGCAACGGAGC